This 504-nucleotide small RNA is filed under the name Pongo abelii (Sumatran orangutan). Its description in RNAcentral is "retained intron". Lineage: Eukaryota; Metazoa; Chordata; Mammalia; Primates; Hominidae. The record is from RNAcentral.
GUUCUUUUUCACGUUGUAAAACCAAAUGGUCAACAAUUAAGAAUUUGAAGUCUUAGAAAUCAGUUAUAAUUCCUUCACAAUGUGGUAGUCCCAGAGUAACAUCUGUAAGUGAAGCAAAAUAAAAAUUUAAAUAUCUUCAUCUUUAAAAAUUGGAAAUCUUGGGGCAUUUAGGGGAGGAUGAGUAGGGGUAAUGUUGAUUAGUAUGGUAAGAUAACUUUAAAAAACGUAACACUUACAGACUAUUAACAGUUUAGGGCUCCUAAUGCUUUAUUAUGAUUCAUCUCCACAUUCAGAGACUUUGCAUUUGUAGUUAAAUGUUUGAAUAUUUGACUGGCUGCUGCUUUUCCUUUUAGUUGUUACAUUAUAUGCUACUCUAGGAGGUCCAGCCAUUGUUCAUGCAUUAAAUGAAACAGAGGUGACCAACAUCAUUACUAGUAAAGAACUCUUACAAACAAAGUUGAAGGAUAUAGUUUCUUUGGUCCCACGCCUGCGGCAUAUCAUCAC